Long non-coding RNA from Folsomia candida, 300 nucleotides. RefSeq lists it as uncharacterized. Lineage: Eukaryota; Metazoa; Arthropoda; Collembola; Entomobryomorpha; Isotomidae. The record is from RefSeq and is a predicted model, not a curated record. The transcript is spliced from 2 exons.
ACUUUGAAGUUUAUUGUGUGUUUUGGUGUUUUUACAUAUAUUUGAGUUCGUUUUAGAUUGAUUAACAUGCUUGACAGAAAGUUUUAGUGAAAUAUUUUUUAAAUAGAAAUAUAUUUUUCAAGUCACAGAUUAUAAGAGAUCCAUUUUUUCAUCAGCGUCAAUUGAUGUUCCAUAUUUGAAGGGUACUUUGUUGCAAGGAGAUUAAGGCACGAGAAACUCAUCUGUGGUAUCGGGUUAAAUUGUAAUUUUAAACAUUUAACAAGUAAAUAAAUUAUCAAUUUCAUACCAUUGACCAAUUAA